CCUACGGGUGGCAGCAGUGGGGAAUAUUGGGCAAUGGGCGCAAGCCUGACCCAGCAACGCCGCGUGAAGGAAGAAGGCUUUCGGGUUGUAAACUUCUUUUAAGAGGGAAGCGCAGAAGACGGUACCUCUUGAGUAAGCCACGGCUAAAUACGUGCCAUCAGUCGCGGUAAUACGGAGGUGGCAAGCGUUGUCCGGAUUUAAUGGGUGUAAAGGGCGUGUUGCCGGGCUGAGAACUCAGAUGUGAAAUUCCGGGGCCCAACCCCGGACCUGCAUUUGAAACUGGUGGUCUUGAGUAUCGGAGAGGCAGGCGGGAUUCCUAGUGUAGCGGUGAAAUGCGUAGAUAUUAGGAGGAACCCCAGUGGCGAAGGCGGCCUGCUGGACGACAACUGACGGUGAGGCGCGAAAGCGUGGGGAUCAAACAGGAUUAGAUACCCCUGUAGUC
Molecule: ribosomal RNA, 442 nt
Filed under: uncultured bacterium
Lineage: Bacteria
Description: partial 16S ribosomal RNA
Rfam family: Bacterial small subunit ribosomal RNA
Source: RNAcentral